UCAGGGAAGAUCUAUAGACCCCUCCUGCAGACUUCUUGGGGUAUCUACAGUGUGUAGAGAUGAGAGGAAUGUGUGGGUUUGCUGUGUCAUGUGAGUGAGGGCUAUUUAUAACCAGGGAAGCUGAAAAGCUUACUGCAGCUGAGACAAUUGUAUUAAAUAUUGGUUUUUGAGAGAAGAAGGAGCCCACAGACAGGAUGAGGGAGAUCUGCCCUGGAGAAGCAAAUCCCUAACAGCCCUUCAGAAAUCAAAGUUGAACCAGACAUAAGGGUCACAUCCACACUGCUGUUCCAGACUUAGGAGAGACUCACCUUUGACUGAAGUGGCAGCUGGAAGAUGCUACAACUUUUAAUUAAUGAGCUGAGUCCUGACUGCCUGAAGAGGAAGUCACACACUGUAUUUUGGGGUGAUUGCAUCAGCAAGUGCAGAAUGAGCCAGCAGUGCACAGGAGCCAGGAUGCUGCGAGGCAGAGCCGGCAGUGGGAACACGGAGCUCACACAGCCUUGGUGCAAAAUCCUCCUUAAGUUUCUGGAGCCUUGAAACUUCAGAUCUCAGCUGUUCUCCUGCCUCUUGGCAAGUAGUAGGAGAAACAAGAGACUCAAUGAAUAAAGGAAUCUGGGUUUUUUA
Molecule: long non-coding RNA, 624 nt
Organism: Vidua chalybeata
Lineage: Eukaryota; Metazoa; Chordata; Aves; Passeriformes; Viduidae
Exons: 3
Source: RefSeq, a predicted model, not a curated record